RNAcentral lists this ribosomal RNA (497 nucleotides) under uncultured bacterium. RNAcentral describes it as "partial 16S ribosomal RNA". It matches the Rfam family "Bacterial small subunit ribosomal RNA", at positions 28 to 507 of the family's 1533-position model. The record is from RNAcentral.
GAUGAACGCUGGCGGCGUGCCUAAUACAUGCAAGUCGAGCGAACGGACGAGAAGCUUGCUUCUCUGAUGUUAGCGGCGGACGGGUGAGUAACACGUGGAUAACCUACCUAUAAGACUGGGAUAACUUCGGGAAACCGGAGCUAAUACCGGAUGAUAUUUUGAACCGCAUGGUUCAAAAGUGAAAGACGGUCUUGCUGUCACUUAUAGAUGGAUCCGCGCUGCAUUAGCUAGUUGGUAAGGUAACGGCUUACCAAGGCAACGAUGCAUAGCCGACGUGAGAGGGUGAUCGGCCACACUGGAGCGGAGACACGGUCCAGACUCCUACGGGAGGCAGCAGUAGGGAAUCUUCCGCAAUGGGCGAAAGCCUGACGGAGCAACGCCGCGUGAGUCAUGAAGGUCUUCGGAUCGUAAAACUCUGUUAUUAGGGAAGAACAGAUGUGUAAGUAACUGUGCACAUCUUGACGGUACCUAAUCAGAAAGCCACGGCUAACUACGUG